GAUGAACGCUAGCGGCAGGCCUAAUACAUGCAAGUCGGACGGGAUCCAUCGGUAGCUUGCUAUCCAUGGUGAGAGUGGCGCACGGGUGCGUAACGCGUGAGCAACCUGCCUCCAUCAGGGGGAUAGCCUCUCGAAAGAGAGAUUAACACCGCAUAACAUAUCAGACCGGCAUCGGUCGGAUAUCAAAUAUUUAUAGGAUGGAGAUGGGCUCGCGUGACAUUAGCUUGUUGGUGGGGUAACGGCCCACCAAGGCGACGAUGUCUAGGGGCUCUGAGAGGAGAAUCCCCCACACUGGUACUGAGACACGGACCAGACUCCUACGGGAGGCAGCAGUAAGGAAUAUUGAUCAAUGGGCGGAAGCCUGAACCAGCCAUGCCGCGUGCAGGAUGACUGCCCUAUGGGUUGUAAACUGCUUUUGUCCGGGAAUAAACCUCCUUACGUGUAGGGAGCUGAAUGUACCGGAAGAAUAAGGAUCGGCUAACUCCGUG
This 488-nucleotide ribosomal RNA is filed under the name uncultured bacterium. RNAcentral's name for it is "partial 16S ribosomal RNA". It matches the Rfam family "Bacterial small subunit ribosomal RNA", at positions 28 to 507 of the family's 1533-position model. The record is from RNAcentral.